This 499-nucleotide ribosomal RNA is filed under the name uncultured bacterium. RNAcentral describes it as "bacterial SSU rRNA". It matches the Rfam family "Bacterial small subunit ribosomal RNA", at positions 880 to 1390 of the family's 1533-position model. The record is from RNAcentral.
GUACGGUCGCAAGGCUAAAACCCAAAGGAAUUGACGGGGGCCCGCACAAGCAGCGGAGCGUGUGGUUUAAUUCGAUGCAACGCGAAGAGCCUUACCUGGGCUUGACAUGUACGUAGUAGUGAAGGGAAACCGGAACGAGCCUUCGGGCAGCGUAGACAGGUGCUGCAUGGCUGUCGUCAGCUCGUGUCGUGAGAUGUUGGGUUAAGUCCCGCAACGAGCGCAACCCGUGUUGCUAGUUACAAGUGUCUAGCGAGACUGCCGGUAACAAGCCGGAGGAAGGUGCGGAUGAUGUCAAGUCAGCAUGGCCUAUAUGUCCAGGGCUACACACACGCUACAAUGGCUGGUACAAAGAGAAGCGAAAGGGAGACCUGAAGCGAAUCUCAUCAAAGCCAGUCAUAGUUCGGAUUGCAGGCUGCAACUCGCCUGCAUGAAGUCGGAGUUGCUAGUAACCGCAGGUCAGCAAUACUGCGGUGAAUACGUUCCCGGGCCUUGUACACAC